Molecule: long non-coding RNA, 4648 nt
Organism: Puntigrus tetrazona (Sumatra barb)
Lineage: Eukaryota; Metazoa; Chordata; Actinopteri; Cypriniformes; Cyprinidae
Exons: 2
Source: RefSeq, a predicted model, not a curated record
UUUUUUUUUUUUUUUUUGCAACGCGCGUGUUCACGUUUCGUCAACGUAAGUCGUUUUGCCGUGCCUUUAGAGUUUUGCGGACGUUUGAUCACGGCUGUCGCUGCACGGCGGCGAUCCAGCUGUAAGCCGCAAAAGUUCAGGCGGAACGCCUCAGCGUUUGCCGCGCCGUGUCCACAAAGACGUUAAAAGAGGUUUCUUUCAUGAGUAGAUUCGUCACGCAUACAGUAGGCUAUAGUUUGCAGCGAGCCGAAUUACUUUACGUGGUGAUGCAUGCGUGUCCUACCGAAUCAACCGGACCAUUGCUCCGGUUACAACAGAGUUGCAUCACGGAGUUUGCUUGUCGCUUUUCUGCUUCGCUCCACGGCCAAUAAAGCGUCCGGCAGAUACUCAAUUAGAUAACCAAUCGUUGUACGCAAUUAAUGUUAACAAAGUCGUCUUCGUGGUUUCAUUCAGACUGUUUUUUUGAAAAGUGUCGGCUCAUAUUGGACAAAAGAAAGAUAUCCGCGUGACAGCUUUACCGCCAAGAGCGGCAGAUGUUGCUGAUGAGACUGAUGUGUUUCACACAUGCAUUCGGUAGAGUUUAGUAAUAGCGUUUUUAUUAAUUCUGGCGAUGAAAAACAUCCGAGGGACUAUUAGCCUUACAGUGCACCGGGCCUGUUGAGUUUAUCGGAGUUGACCUUGGCCCAAACCUGAUGUAUCCUGUCACCCAUCGGGCCUUUCUUUUAGAUGAUGUUAAAACUUAAUAAGUAAGUAUAUAAACAUUUGUGUAAUAACACAAACAGGACAAUGCAUUAAAAAAUUGAACCGCGACUGAACUUUUUUUUUAACCCGGAGGUCAAAUUGUUUGGUAGCACAUCCAUCAAGUUAAUAAACCUACAGUUAGAAAUGUGCAAAAUUAAGUUCGGGUGACAUUUUAUAUAGCAGCAUCUGUGUUCAAAAUACACUGCUUAGAUAAAAGUAAUAAAGUUCUUGCGCCGCGGGGUAAUUUCAGUUUUUUUUUAUAUUGUGUCGGUCAUUUGAAAACACACGGUAACAAACGUAGCCUGUCGCGAAAUGAGUUGUUAAAGAUUUCGUGCUGCAGCGCAAGUGAAGCGUCUGCCAUUUAACAAACACUGUUCUUUGAUAAAUUACAGGAUUCAGGCCCACGGACGAACUUUUCUCCACACGGACGCGAAAGUUCAUCUGGGAACCACCGCGGAACAAACGCGUUCCUUUGCAUGCACAUCAUUUAUGGCUGUUUAUGACAAUGCAUUUGGUGUUAAAGACUUAAAAAGAAUAAAUUACUCGCGACCCCUCUUUGCAUUAUGAAACGCAUAGCCUAACUGAGGAGAACUAAAGAAUCUCUCUUUAUAUAUUUGCACGUGCUUUCCAGCAGGAUCGAGGAUCCCAGGGAUCUUCACGCAGAACAGCAGGCGAUUUAAACAUCAGCGCAACAGGUUAAAGAAACCAAAUUAAACAGGCUAUUAUUUGCGAUCAUCGCGAAAAUUUGUUUAAGAGUAGCCCAUAAUUUAAUCACAUUCUUCCAGGUGUUAGCCUACAAGUAACCCGCAAUCUCAAAAGUUUAACACGAGUUUAACACGUCAACCAAAAGCCCAUGGGAUCAUUUUUUUCUCUCCACGUUUUGGAAUAAAUGAAAACGCGGAAUAAGCGUUCGCAAAGGCCGUAGACCGACAACUUUGACACCGAACGGAUUGCCUAAAUGCGCGUCCACGCGGGAAUCAAUUCUUUAAAAAGCACAGCCGUCGGUGAAGGCUUCGCGGGGGUCAGAAUCGCUCCACGAGACACCAAAACGGUCAAUGCAAAUUUCAGCCAAAGAACCGGACGGUCAUCCGUAAGAAACGAGCGAAUCCGUGCGAGCGAUUCCAACAUUAGCCUAAUCUCCGUCAAUAAGAUUUCUGCUUGCCACGAUUGAACGAAUGGACUUGAAUUCGUUUGCUGAAGGACGUCAAAUGGUCUGUAUUUCUGCGAAACAGAAACAUGUCUUUGCCACGCCAGGUUUUUUUUUCUUUUUAACCACUGUCACCUAUAGCAGGCGUUCGGCGAAUUAAAACAAUGGCAUGCUUUUGAAAGAAUGUUUUUCCUCCGACCAAAUGAAUGGCUUUUUGCGGAAUCUGUUUAAAAAUUAAUACGCCCGUGUUCACUAGUUAUAAAUCGACGCAAGCGAUUAACGGGAACCGAAUCGCAGCGGCUAAAAUAAACAGUCUGCAAACUUUAUCAGCGUUACAGGGAAUCGUUUGAAUGAUAAAGCCGUUAUAUGUCCUGCCGCGAUGUUGUGCCCGUCUUUUAUUUGACGCGGAUUCGUGAAAAAAAAAAUCCAGCUAUGUUUGAGCAAGUCACACGAAUUCAACGCGCGGUAAAGUUUUUGACGCGUGAUCUGAGCGCGGUCUAAAGAUGUAAAGCUCGUUUGUGUCCUUGCACGUGGGGUUGUCGCCUCGUUUAUGUCUCAGACGAUUCAAGAGAGACUCACAACCGUAACUAGGCUAUUAUAAAAAAAAAGUGUCAGCACCCCUAGACGAUGAUAUAUUACGCUCUGUUCGUGUUACGUGAAAUCCGCGUGGCAUUCUACGCGGUUAUAUUCGUUAUGAACGCGGAAAUUGCUCGAGGCAGAGGCACCCAGGGUCAUUUGCAUUCAGAGCCAAAUAUAAAAUAACAAUCAAAUAAUUUCUGGCACUCACACGCCAGGUUUCGCGGCGUUAAAUAUCUUCAAAUCGACUCACAGUCGAUUCAUGUGCAUUUUUUUAAAACGUGAUUUAAAAAAAAAAAUUAAAGAGCAGAGAUGAAACAAAAGGUGAGUAGCUUUAUUUUAUUUUUUUAAAUAGCUUGCUAAACAUGGAAGAAAAUGAACGUACAAAAAGGUCCACAGUGUUAUUGUAAUACGAAUGACUGAACGAUUAAAAAACGUCCAAAUUGCGCAAUAUGCGUCUUAAUCCAGGUUUAUUAAUUCAGUGGGCCGUUUAUCCAGAGUGACUUCUGCUUUGAAGCUGGACUGAUGGACCUGUUUAGGUCAUUUUUCAUCUUUGCAAACUAAUCUUGGAGUUCAAGCUUGACAUACCUUUUCAAUGUGAUGAUCUAAUCCAGAAGGUUUUGCACCGCCCUCUCUUUUCAGUGUCUCACACCUGUCAUUGAAGAACAUUUCAAAGAAGAGAGGCUGUCCCUCGCCCACAGAUUGUCUAUCUAUAUCCUCAUAUCCAUCCCUCACGCUCCCUGUCUCUCCCUCACCAUCAAGUCAAACGGUUGUCUGCACCUCUCUGGGCUCAUCCUGGGUGUGCCUGUGUUCAUGAAAGUCUGGGCAAACUGAUCUAGGAUCAGAUUCCUCCUCGCUUUACAAUGAUAGCGACCCAAGCCUAUUUAUAAAGAGUUGCUGGCCUCUUCGAUUACAUACCCCUCUGCCUCUUCUCACAGAUCCCCACUGUAUCCAGGCUCCCUCGAUUGCCCUGUGAAACCAAACAAGAAAAUGGCCACAGAGGGGAAUUCAGAAGGGUGUGUGAGCGUGUGUGUGUACUAAAUACUAUGCCCAAAAAUAUAUUCUGACUCAUUUGGCAGAAACACUCCUCACUUAGACACAAAUGUAUGAUAAGUAACACAGAAAACGUGCUGCCUGGUCUAUUUAAUAACCUGCCGUUGAUUGUCCUUAAUUGAUUUUAAUUCUCCAUUUGACUUCGCCUGCUUCUGCUGGGCGGACGAGUCACGAGAGCUCGUGUAUUUCUCUCUGAAGGUGUUCUGCGGGAGAUGACAGGCCCAUGAAGAUGUCAAUACGUUUGCGAAAUGCCAUUUUCGGAGUAAUUUAACAAGUAUUCCAAAUCGGCCUCCCGUUCUCUGGGCCUGAGGGAAAUCAUUAACGGUGAGAGAGCUAGGCAGAUCCAGGAACAGGUCCUGCGUGUGUCCAGUGCCCUGCAUUACGGUUUCAGAGUCGCACUAGCUGGGCUGGAGGAGGAAAACUGCUGUGAAUUGUGUCUACUGACCUGACCAAAUUAAAACCGAACUCACAGAAGCCGUUUAAAUCAUACAGACACGCGUGCUUGCCUGUAACCUCCCUGCCCAGCUGCUGUCUGACUGCAUGACAAAGCUUCCAAGCGAAUACCAGAGACUUACACUCCUCGUAUAUUGCCUGCCUCUCCUCCUCCGAACCCCUCGCCCAUCGGAGCCGCAGACUCUCACACACCUGCUGUGUGCAUGUGCCUGAGUGCAUGUACCAGAGUUUGUGUGCAGGUAUGUUUGUUUGCAGCGCAGAGGUUUGCGCGCGCGUGUCUGGUACGGAUCAGGGCAUGCUUUCCUGGCAUCCCAGUCAUUUGCACUUGCUGGUGAGGCUUGCCAACACCACGCUUCAGCCUGUGAACACGCUUUCAACCCCCGACACGACGACGCUCACUAGCUGCAGACACUCCAGCGGCGGAGCUACCGAAACUGGACGGAAGUGCAUAGGUGGCGGUAAAAAAUGAAAUAUAAAUUAUGAAUGAAUUCAGAGACUCUUUGUACACGCCAGCUCUAACUAAGCUUGUUCUUGGAAUAGCACAUGUGUACGUGUAAUAUAUGAUUGUAUGAAUUAUGAAACAGAAAUGUCCACUUUGUAGCAGGGUUGCAAUCGUUAACUAAAACUAAAGCCAUAGAAAAUGUCAUGACUUGCAAUAAAAUAAACAUUACUUUUUUA